AGCGAACGCUGGCGGCAGGCUUAACACAUGCAAGUCGAACGGGCGUAGCAAUACGUCAGUGGCAGACGGGUGAGUAACGCGUGGGAACGUACCUUUUGGUUCGGAACAACACAGGGAAACUUGUGCUAAUACCGGGAUAAGCCCUUACGGGGAAAGAUUUAUCGCCGAAAGAUCGGCCCGCGUCUGAUUAGCUAGUUGGUGAGGUAACGGCUCACCAAGGCGACGACCAGUAGCUGGUCUGAGAGGAUGAUCAGCCACAUUGGGACUGAGACACGGCCCAAACUCCUACGGGAGGCAGCAGUGGGGAAUAUUGGACAAUGGGCGCAAGCCUGAUCCAGCCAUGCCGCGUGAGUGAUGAAGGCCCUAGGGUUGUAAAGCUCUUUUGUGCGGGAAGAUAAUGACGGUACCGCAAGAAUAAGCCCCGGCUAACUUCGUG
This 436-nucleotide ribosomal RNA is filed under the name uncultured bacterium. Its description in RNAcentral is "bacterial SSU rRNA". It matches the Rfam family "Bacterial small subunit ribosomal RNA", at positions 29 to 507 of the family's 1533-position model. The record is from RNAcentral.